Molecule: long non-coding RNA, 829 nt
Organism: Cryptomeria japonica (Japanese cedar)
Lineage: Eukaryota; Viridiplantae; Streptophyta; Pinopsida; Cupressales; Cupressaceae
Exons: 3
Source: RefSeq, a predicted model, not a curated record
UUAUCUCCUCUCGUCAGAAUUAGCAUUUUGAACAAUAUUCAAAUGAUUUGCAUUGACAACCUUUCCCAUAUUCUGUACAGCUAAAAACAGGGUACAAGAAACAGAGCACAUCGAGUACGAGGCAAAAUCAAGAGAAACCCUCCAAUAAAGUAUACAAAUAUGAAGCGUCAAAUAACAGAACCUUUCUUAAGAAUGGACAGACACGCGAAAUGUUUGAUAGAAUGCCUCGAAGAGGUUUCAUCUCAUGGAAUGCCAUAAUUGCAUGUGCAAGUCAAAUUUCCCAACCUUUGCCAGAAUCUUUCCGUCCUGUCCCAAAAUGGGAUCGGGAGCUUUGGAACAUGGUAUGGACAUCCAUCAAAACAUUAGUCAGAUGUAGCUGCCACUUCCCUGAUGGACAUGUAUACAAAAUGUGGAAGCAUAGACAUGGCACGUGAACUGUUUGACAUAAUGCUUCAAAGACGUGCCAUCCCAUAGAAGGAUUGCAGGAUAUGCACAAAAUGGAUUUUUGCAACGAUCCUCUCAAAAUCUUUGCACUCUGGCACAUAUCCUGACAUUGUAAGCAAAGCCUUCUAUGUGCACGCAUUCUAUGUGCAGGCAGCCAUGCAGGUUUAGUGGAUGAGGGUUGGGUUUUAUGGAAGGGGUUUCUUAAAAAUAGAGUUGGAGUUGUUAAGAUUCUUUAUAAUAUUUUAAAGUUUAUGGUCGCAUGAAUUUUAUGGUACAGUUCAGCUUAAAAGUUUAAGUUCAGAUUUAAGGAAGCUAGUGGUCUCAUGAAUUUUGAUGCUGGUCUUCUAUAUUCUGUGCAGUGUUGAUGGAGUGUAUAAAAAAAUUU